RNAcentral lists this ribosomal RNA (492 nucleotides) under uncultured bacterium. RNAcentral's name for it is "partial 16S ribosomal RNA". It matches the Rfam family "Bacterial small subunit ribosomal RNA", at positions 29 to 507 of the family's 1533-position model. The record is from RNAcentral.
AGUGAACGCUGGCGGUAUGCCUAACACAUGCAAGUCGAACGGCAGCACAGUAAGAGCUUGCUCUUACGGGUGUCGAGUGGCGGACGGUUGAGUAAUACAUCGGAUUCUACUUUUUCGUGGGGGAUAACGUGGGGAAACUUACGCUAAUACCGCAUACGACCUACGGGUGAAAGCAGGGGAUCUUCUGACCUUGCGCGAUUGAAUGAGCCGAUGUCGGAUUAGCUAGUUGGCGGGGUAAAGGCCCACCAAGGCGACGAUCCGUAGCUGGUCUGAGAGGGUGAUCAGCCAGACUGGAACUGAGGCACGGCACAGACUCCUACGGGAGGACGCAGUGGGGACUAUUGGACAAUGGGCGAAAGCCUGAUCCAGCAAUACCGGGUGGGUGAAGAACGCCUUCGGGUUGGAAAGCCCUUUUGUUCGGAAAGAAAAGAAGCAGGUUAAUACCCCGCUAUUCUGACGGUACCGAAAGAAUAAGCACCGGCUAACUUCGUG